UUUUUUUUUUUUUUUUUUUUUUUUUUUUGGUCUUUUUAGGGCCACACCCCAAAGCAUAUGGAAGUUCCCAGGCUAGGGGUCGAAUCAGAGCUGCGGCUUCCGGCCUACACCGCAACCACAGCCACACGGGAUCCAAGCUGCGUCUGCGACCUACACCACAGCUCAUGGCAACACCAGACCCUUAAUCCACUGAGCAAGGCCAGGGAUCGAACCCAGGUCCACAUAGAUAUUGGUCGGGUUCUUUAACCACUGAGCCAUGACAGGAAGAUUUGUUUUCUUAAUAUACAGAUUUUAAGAACAAAAACCUAUCAUAUUGAUAGGAUUUUAAUACUAAAUAAUUACAUUAUUGACAUUGCACAUAUUUGUAUGCUUUACAAACUUAAUCACAAUAAACAUGAGUAUAAUUUUAAACAAAAUUAAUGUUUUUAGCGCAACUGCUCAUUGUUUCUUGAAGGAUUGGCCUUUUUGCUUUAAGUCUCCAACUUUCCGCAUUACACAAGCGUAGUAAAAUGUAUCAUCAAAAUGCUCAUGACAGUGAAAUCUUGAAUCCCAAUCCACAAAGUGGUUACUAUCCUGGAGGAUGAGGUGCCUGGCUCUUGGCCUACCAGCUCCUGGAGAAGGUCAACAGAACAUUUCACCAUUACAACCACCUCUGCAGGAAAGGCUCCCUCACACAAUCACCCCCUCUGACCGUCUCACAAGACAGGUAGGACAGGUUUCUGAUCAUCCCCAUUCUCCAAAGCAUGAUGGGGCUAAGGAAAGUCUAAGUAACUCAACCAGGGACACCCAGUUAUUAAAAGGAAUUGCAAGAAAUCGACCUAUAAUUUUUUAGCUCCAAAUCCCAUACUUUUCUUCUGUCCAUGUUUUAGCCAGUAGUUCUCUACCUGAAUGCCUAUAGGGCAAUUUGACAAUUACCAGUACCUGGGUAUCAGCCUCCAGAAAUUCUGAUUUAAUUGCUUUGAUCUGUUUUAGCCAUCUAUUAUAUUAUAAACCAGUGGUUUGUUUAUUUAUUUUUUUAUUUUUUGUCCUUUUCACGCUGCAUCCGUGGCAUACGGAGGUUCCAAGCUAAGGGUCAAAUCAGAGCUAUAGCUGCCAACUUAGCCACAAGCACAGCAAUGCGGGAUCAGAGGUGCACCAGUGACCUACACCACAGCUCACAGACACACCAGGUCCUUAACCCACUGAGCGAGGCCAGGGAUUGAACCCGAGUUCUCGCAGAUGCCAGUCAGAUUUGUUAACCACUGAGCCGCGAUGGGAACUCCCAAACCAGCGGUUUAUCAAUUCACAAAAAGUGUAUGCCAUAGAGGGAGAAAUUGUGCAUAUCUUUAUACAUAAGUUAAAACAUCCUUAUCCCCGAAGACAAAGAUACCUUGCAAUAAAUGAAGCAGAACAAGAAGGAAGAAGAGAUGGGAAACUUAAACCCAUUUUGCUGCUAUCGUGGGACCACCAAGGAAAAUUUUAUUCCCCUGAUUGCCUGUUCCCACUCCCUGAACCUCUCCACCCCCCGUCUGAACUCCGCGACGAGCUUUAACUCAAGUAUUGCCUCCUCUGUAAAGGCUUCCAAAUCACAGAAGGUAAAGAAGCCCAUUUUUUUUUUUGCAUCCAUCUUACCCUGAACUCUACCUCUAAACAGCACGUAUUGCACAAAGCAUUUACUUCCACAUCCAUUUCUCUUACUGGCCUGAGGGCUCUUUAAUGGUAGGGUCCCUAUCUUAUUCAUUCUUGCCAUCUUCUAUAUCCAGGGCCUUGAAGAUAGCAGAUAUGAAAACAGUGUUUGCUGAACUGUAUGAUUUUUGUAUGUCUUAUCUUUAUGUUUGGUAUGGUUAUUUCCCUCGUGGCCUCCUAGUAGACAUUCUCUUGAAAUUUUUCCACUUUUAAUAAAAGAAAGGAGAUUUUUUUCCCUCCACAGCUGGAUUAGGUUAGAGAAUAAUGUAUGCAAAAGGCUGGAUGUGGUGAGAGCAAGACAGCAGGGGCCCCUAAGCCAGGGAAGAGGAGCAUGAACAAGAUAAAAUGAGACUCAAAGGUAAGAUCAGCUGUGGAGUUUUAGUUUAGCACCUGGCCCCCCACUCCAACCAGUGACUUCUAAGAGGCACUUUUCAAUCUUCAUCAUACUUAAUGACUGACUCCCAACUUUAAAGUUUAACUGGGUUCUGCUUUGUGAAACUCUGCCACAGGCCUGAAAAGUUUUGUUUUCUCUCUUCUCCCAGUCUCUCUGGCCACUCUCUUUCAGUAUCUUUACAUCUUUCUUUUGCUUGGUUUGUCCCUAAAAUUUCAGUCUGCUCUUAGACUUACUUUCCAUGCUUUUCUCUUCUCUUUCUCUGCAGUUCCCCUGAGCACUUUUCUUUUUACCUAUGCCUUCAACGCUCCAUAUGACAAGCACUCAAAAAUCUUUAUCUCCAGCCUCCACAGCUCUUGCGAUGCUCCAGGAUCUUUAUAUCCAGUUGCCGCCUAGAUGCCUUCAACCCACCACAAGCUCGUUAAACGCAAUGCGUGCAAACCUUCCCCCUCACAACUGCCUCCUCUUCUCUUUUCCCUCUCACUACCCAGAAACCUGGUAGUCAUUCCAGUGGCCUCACGCUCCCCUUCCUUUUACAAACAGUCACCAAAAACCAGCCACUUCUCCCUCCUCCUAAGUAUUUUCCCAAACAUUCUCACUUCUGAGCAUCCCCACUACUUGCAUCUGUCUGUGCUCUCAGCCUCCUUUGAGCCACAGGAACUGCACAGCCUGCUCUGGCCCCAGUCUCAGCAGAUCCCCGCACCCCCACCCCCUCCAUCCCAAUCUACCCAGCACAGUGAUCUGUCAUGUCACUCACAAGUCUUCCGUGGCUCACGACAACUUAUGGGACAGGAAACACACCCUAAAUUAGCUUUCCACUUUCAUCUCCUUUCACUCCCAACUUUGCCCUUCACACUCUAGUAUAAUGACCUACAGAAGCUCCCAGAAUACACUACACUCUCCUAAUACCAAACAACUACUCCCACUAUUAGCUCCACCUGGAAAUUCU
This 3005-nucleotide long non-coding RNA is filed under the name Sus scrofa (pig). RNAcentral's name for it is "lncRNA (ENSSSCG00015001846.1)". The record is from RNAcentral. Lineage: Eukaryota; Metazoa; Chordata; Mammalia; Artiodactyla; Suidae.